CAGUAUCAUAUCCUUGUAAAGAAGAAAGUUCGGCUAUAGUAGACACAGUCGUGGAUAGUAAUUCUUGAUCAUCUAAACUCAUUCCACUUAACUGAGACAACUCGAAGAAACAUUGGAAAAUCCGAGCAAGCAAGAGAGAGCGAAGUUCCAAGUGAGAAUAAUCUGAAGCGGGAAUUGGCAUGGUAAUUUCAAGCCUUUUG
This is a non-coding RNA of Schizosaccharomyces pombe (fission yeast), 200 nucleotides long. The record is from the annotation of a GenBank genome assembly. NCBI's taxonomy places the organism in Eukaryota, Fungi, Ascomycota, Schizosaccharomycetes, Schizosaccharomycetales, Schizosaccharomycetaceae.